UUCCGGUUGAUCCUGCCGGAGGCCAUUGCUAUUGGGAUUCGAUUUAGCCAUGCUAGUCGCACGAGUUCAGACUCGUGGCGAAUAGCUCAGUAACACGUGGCCAAACUACCCUUCGGAACACGAUACCCUCGGGAAACUGAGGCUAAUAGUGUAUACCACAGUCCACCUGGAAUGAGGACUGUGUCAAACGCUCCGGCGCCGAAGGAUGUGGCUGCGGCCGAUUAGGUAGACGGUGGGGUAACGGCCCACCGUGCCAAUAAUCGGUACGGGUCAUGAGAGUGAGAACCCGGAGACGGAAUCUGAGACAAGAUUCCGGGCCCUACGGGGCGCAGCAGGCGCGAAACCUUUACACUGCACGACAGUGCGAUAAGGGAAUCCCAAGUGCGUAGGCAUAGAGCCUACGCUUUUGUCUACCGUAGGGAGGUAGACGAAUAAGGGCUGGGCAAGACCGGUGCCAGCCGCCGCGGUAAUACCGGCAGCCCGAGUGAUGGCCGAUCUUAUUGGGCCUAAAGCGUCCGUAGCUGGCCGCACAAGUCCAUCGGAAAAUCCACCCGCUCAACGGGUGGGCGUCCGGUGGAAACUGUGUGGCUUGGGACCGGAAGGCGCGACGGGUACGUCCGGGGUAGGAGUGAAAUCCUGUAAUCCUGGACGGACCGCCGAUGGCGAAAGCACGUCGCGAAGACGGAUCCGACAGUGAGGGACGAAAGCUAGGGUCUCGAACCGGAUUAGAUACCCGGGUAGUCCUAGCCGUAAACAAUGCCUGUUAGGUGUGGCUCCCACUACGAGUGGGUGCUGUGCCGUAGGGAAGCCGCUAAACAGGCCGCCUGGGAAGUACGUCCGCAAGGAUGAAACUUAAAGGAAUUGGCGGGGGAGCAC
This 876-nucleotide ribosomal RNA is filed under the name uncultured archaeon. RNAcentral's name for it is "bacterial SSU rRNA". It matches the Rfam family "Archaeal small subunit ribosomal RNA", at positions 1 to 879 of the family's 1478-position model. The record is from RNAcentral.